CUAGCCGUAAACGAUGGAUACUAGGCGUUGUGAGUAUCGACCCUCACAGUGUCGUAGCUAACGCGUUAAGUAUCCCGCCUGGGGAGUACGCGCGCAAGCGUGAAACUCAAAGGAAUUGACGGGGGCCCGCACAAGCGGUGGAGUAUGUGGUUUAAUUCGAUGCAACGCGAAGAACCUUACCAGGACUUGACAUGUCGCGAAUCUCAGGGAGACUUGAGAGUGCCUUCGGGAGCGCGAACACAGGUGGUGC
RNAcentral lists this ribosomal RNA (250 nucleotides) under uncultured Chroococcidiopsis sp. Its description in RNAcentral is "partial 16S ribosomal RNA". It matches the Rfam family "Bacterial small subunit ribosomal RNA", at positions 796 to 1044 of the family's 1533-position model. The record is from RNAcentral. Lineage: Bacteria; Bacillati; Cyanobacteriota; Cyanophyceae; Chroococcidiopsidales; Chroococcidiopsidaceae.